ACAAGGAGAGGUUCACCAACAUGACGGGAUCUUCUGGGACUCAAAUAACUUCUCCCUAGGUUUUUCCCCACUAAGCAUGGGGCCAGCCUGCUCGCAUUUGCUCAGUGGACGAUGCUGCACAGCCUGAGCAUCUUCUUUCCAGCUGAUCGAGUGGUAUAAAUGAUUAAGGAGAAGACAUUCAUCAGAUCCACGGUGUCUAUUAGCAAUUUGAGGCGUGAAGAGCUCAUUCCUGAGAUAUAGCUGGAUUGCUGCUCGCGGCGAGGAACAAAUGAAGAACCGGGUUAACCCUCCUGACAGGUGUGGCUGACUCGAAUCAGUCUUUCUCCUGUCAGAUGAAAGGACUGUAAUAUGAUCCUUCCCUGCAGUAGGCUCCGCCACCCACCUCCUUCCAGGCAGCAGCACUGGAGCCAUGUCAGUGGAGGAAGUCCUCUUGUCAGCUACAACAG
Long non-coding RNA from Talpa occidentalis (Iberian mole), 446 nucleotides. RefSeq lists it as uncharacterized. The record is from RefSeq and is a predicted model, not a curated record. NCBI's taxonomy places the organism in Eukaryota, Metazoa, Chordata, Mammalia, Eulipotyphla, Talpidae. The transcript is spliced from 3 exons.